This 117-nucleotide non-coding RNA is filed under the name Pongo abelii (Sumatran orangutan). The record is from Rfam by way of RNAcentral. Lineage: Eukaryota; Metazoa; Chordata; Mammalia; Primates; Hominidae.
GCCAGGCGUGGUGGCUCACGCCUGUAAUCCCAACACUUUGGGAGGCUGAGGCGGGUGGAUCACCUGAGGUCAGGAGUUCGAGACCAGCCUGGCCAACAUGGUGAAACCCCAUCUCUA